UCAUUCCCAAGUGCUAGCAUUAUCAACC
This 28-nucleotide non-coding RNA is filed under the name Mus musculus (house mouse). The record is from RNAcentral. Lineage: Eukaryota; Metazoa; Chordata; Mammalia; Rodentia; Muridae.